Dipodomys ordii (Ord's kangaroo rat) is the source of this 101-nucleotide long non-coding RNA. RefSeq lists it as uncharacterized. The transcript is spliced from 2 exons. The record is from RefSeq and is a predicted model, not a curated record. Lineage: Eukaryota; Metazoa; Chordata; Mammalia; Rodentia; Heteromyidae.
CAAAAAAAAAAACAACUGACCAGCCAUCACCAAGUUUCCUUAAGAGGGUCAAAGUCAGAGUGGUGGUCACGGUCCUGGAGGUGGCAAGAAGGAUGACAAGG